GGUUAAGCGACUAAGCGUACACGGUGGAUGCCCUGGCAGUCAGAGGCGAUGAAGGACGUGCUAAUCUGCGAUAAGCGUCGGUAAGGUGAUAUGAACCGUUAUAACCGGCGAUUUCCGAAUGGGGAAACCCAGUGUGUUUCGACACACUAUCAUUAACUGAAUCCAUAGGUUAAUGAGGCGAACCGGGGGAACUGAAACAUCUAAGUACCCCGAGGAAAAGAAAUCAACCGAGAUUCCCCCAGUAGCGGCGAGCGAACGGGGAGGAGCCCAGAGCCUGAAUCAGUGUGUGUGUUAGUGGAAGCGUCUGGAAAGGCGCGCGAUACAGGGUGACAGCCCCGUACACAAAAAUGCACAUACUGUGAGCUCGAUGAGUAGGGCGGGACACGUGGUAUCCUGUCUGAAUAUGGGGGGACCAUCCUCCAAGGCUAAAUACUCCUGACUGACCGAUAGUGAACCAGUACCGUGAGGGAAAGGCGAAAAGAACCCCGGCGAGGGGAGUGAAAAAGAACCUGAAACCGUGUACGUACAAGCAGUGGGAGCCUCUUUUAUGGGGUGACUGCGUACCUUUUGUAUAAUGGGUCAGCGACUUAUAUUCUGUAGCAAGGUUAACCGAAUAGGGGAGCCGAAGGGAAACCGAGUCUUAACUGGGCGUUAAGUUGCAGGGUAUAGACCCGAAACCCGGUGAUCUAGCCAUGGGCAGGUUGAAGGUUGGGUAACACUAACUGGAGGACCGAACCGACUAAUGUUGAAAAAUUAGCGGAUGACUUGUGGCUGGGGGUGAAAGGCCAAUCAAACCGGGAGAUAGCUGGUUCUCCCCGAAAGCUAUUUAGGUAGCGCCUCGUGAAUUCAUCUCCGGGGGUAGAGCACUGUUUCGGCAAGGGGGUCAUCCCGACUUACCAACCCGAUGCAAACUGCGAAUACCGGAGAAUGUUAUCACGGGAGACACACGGCGGGUGCUAACGUCCGUCGUGAAGAGGGAAACAACCCAGACCGCCAGCUAAGGUCCCAAAGUCAUGGUUAAGUGGGAAACGAUGUGGGAAGGCCCAGACAGCCAGGAUGUUGGCUUAGAAGCAGCCAUCAUUUAAAGAAAGCGUAAUAGCUCACUGGUCGAGUCGGCCUGCGCGGAAGAUGUAACGGGGCUAAACCAUGCACCGAAGCUGCGGCAGCGACGCUUAUGCGUUGUUGGGUAGGGGAGCGUUCUGUAAGCCUGUGAAGGUGUACUGUGAGGUAUGCUGGAGGUAUCAGAAGUGCGAAUGCUGACAUAAGUAACGAUAAAGCGGGUGAAAAGCCCGCUCGCCGGAAGACCAAGGGUUCCUGUCCAACGUUAAUCGGGGCAGGGUGAGUCGACCCCUAAGGCGAGGCCGAAAGGCGUAGUCGAUGGGAAACAGGUUAAUAUUCCUGUACUUGGUGUUACUGCGAAGGGGGGACGGAGAAGGCUAUGUUGGCCGGGCGACGGUUGUCCCGGUUUAAGCGUGUAGGCUGGUUUUCCAGGCAAAUCCGGAAAAUCAAGGCUGAGGCGUGAUGACGAGGCACUACGGUGCUGAAGC
Molecule: ribosomal RNA, 1547 nt
Filed under: Escherichia coli
Lineage: Bacteria; Pseudomonadati; Pseudomonadota; Gammaproteobacteria; Enterobacterales; Enterobacteriaceae
Description: partial 23S ribosomal RNA
Rfam family: Bacterial large subunit ribosomal RNA
Source: RNAcentral